UGUUUUCUGUAACAUGUGGCCUUACUUAAGAGGCAUCCUGGAACUCUUUCAUUUGCUUGUUAUAGAACUCCAUUCAAAAAGCUACUAAUAGGAAUGGGCAACUGAUUUGUAGAGAGUUCAGUUAGGACUGCAGAUAAAGAGGUCCAUGCCUGGCGAGCUUCUGCUAAACCAGAUGAGCCCCGAUUAAGGACAAAUACUCCAAGUUGAAGGUAUAACUCCACAAAGCAAUUGAUAUGCCAUGUCAAAAGAACAAGAAGAUCACUUUUUAAGGACUUAUUGAGUGGGAAGUUCCAGGAGAAAAUGUUGCAGUAAUGACCUUAGAAUUAUAGAAUCACAGAAUUGGAAGAGACCACAUGGCCUCGCCCUGGAUGUUUCCACGGCAACGGAGAGCCGGUUCCCCAGGCAACGGAGAGACGCUUCCUCGCGGCGCCAUGGCUGCCAAGAAGGCCAAGGAGAGGGAGAAAGAGAAGGAGAAAGAGAAGGAAAGUGCCCCUGCGUCCGUGCCAUCUCAGGAAGAUGACAUUGUUGCUAAAGAUGAAGAGGAAAUGGCUUGGAAAUUUCUUUCUCUUGAAGAGGUUACUGCACUUUUGGAACUGGAUAUAGUUGGAGUUCAAAAAGCCUUGGAAGAAUUUCUAAAUUUGAAACAUCGAUUGACAUCUUUGAAAGAGGCUGUGAUACUGGAUUAUUACAUCUCAGGAUUUUUGUGGGCUAAAUCAUUAGAAUUCACUUCUGUGCAACUUGGAGGAUUCCUGACUCUGUUAAAUUUGCUGAUCGAGAACAUUGACAGCCAACAUAUGACACUGGAACAGAACACCCAAGAACUUAUGAAUGCAAUGGCAGGAAUUGGACAGUGUAAUCCCAAAAAAAGUGGUGGGUUUGAGUUCUUCACUGUAGACCAAGCCAAGGCUAUAAUAAAUUAUUUGAAGAUCAGCUUAUUUCAACAUUAUUCUCUGUAUCAGUAUCUUUUCCACAGUCCCAGGGAAGAACUUGUGAUUGGAGACGAGAACAUAGUAGAACUAGUGAAGCCUGCAGACAGCCCUUUCCCUGCUCCCUUGGAAGAAGGUCUGCCUUAUGAGAUUUAUUCUAAAUUUAUCAUAUCAGGCCCAGAGACAGAAGAGGAAAUCAAGGAGAUGGAUGAAGACUAUCCAGAAGAAGAACCUGAGCCUGAAAGCGUGAUAGAUCCUUUGGUGGGUUAUACCAUAGAGGAUGUCCAGUCAGUACUUGGUGUAAUUACCAAUGAAAUGAUCAGCGUUGUUCAGUCUGAGAUAAAUGAAAAGCUACAAACGCAGGAAGAGGCCUAUUCUACAAGAAUAGACAAGCUGAAGAAAAUCUGAAAAAUGAAAACCUUCUGCAAACUGAUUGAUGACAGUGCCUCACACAGAUUAUCUAGAUGCAUUUUAUUUCUGAAGGCUGUGUGGCCAUGUUCCAAAAGUAUUCUCACCUGACGUUUCGCCCACAUCUAUGGCAGGCAUCCUCAGAGGUUGUGAGGUAUGGAUAAACUAAGUAAGGAAAGGAAAGAAUAUAUAUAUAUAUAUAUCCAUAUAUACACAGAUAUAUAUUCUUUCCCCAAACUUGUCAUCUGAAGCUGCUGCCCCCCAUAUCUUAGCUAUUCUCCGUCCCAUAUAAUUUCUGUAUAAUUUUCUUUGUGUGCAGUGGCAAACAAUGUUGAUCUGAUGUAGACAAUGUGCCAUCCUAUUCCUUCAAGACUUCAAAAAUCACAAGUGCAAGUACAAUAUUAUGUGUUGGGGGUUUUGUCUUUCAUUUUCUUUUGUGGCAUUUUUGUGAUGAUUCAGCAUGAAUUUUCAGCAAGCUAGCCACAACCCCUCUCCCUUUUAUCCAGGUUUCUCUGGGAUUUUAGGGCCUGUGUAAGGCCCUAAAAUUAAGGAUUAAAAUUUCCCUAAACAAAAUGAACACCAAACUCCUCACACAGUUGGAGAGAGAGAGAAGAAAGGGGCAGCCAGUCAGCUUAGGUUGCAAUACUUAAAGUUCUCAUGCUCACUCUCUGGAGGGAGAAUGGAUUGGACUGCUAAGCCAUCCAGGUGAGUGGUAAUACUGACAAAGGCUAUUGGUUGAUGAAUUUAUGCA
This is an RNA transcript of Anolis carolinensis (green anole), 2085 nucleotides long. It is a transcript of the gene named ciliary associated calcium binding coiled-coil 1, with no coding region annotated. The transcript has 12 exons. NCBI's taxonomy places the organism in Eukaryota, Metazoa, Chordata, Lepidosauria, Squamata, Anolidae. The record is from RefSeq and is a predicted model, not a curated record.